RNAcentral lists this ribosomal RNA (389 nucleotides) under uncultured bacterium. RNAcentral describes it as "bacterial SSU rRNA". It matches the Rfam family "Bacterial small subunit ribosomal RNA", at positions 29 to 417 of the family's 1533-position model. The record is from RNAcentral.
AUUGAACGCUGGCGGCAUGCCUUACACAUGCAAGUCGAACGGCAGCACGGGGGCAACCCUGGUGGCGAGUGGCGAACGGGUGAGUAAUACAUCGGAACGUGUCCGGUCGUGGGGGAUAACCAGUCGGAAAGAUUGGCUAAUACCGCAUGAGCUCGAAAGAGGAAAGCGGGGGACCCGCAAGGGCCUCGCGCGACUCGAGCGGCCGAUGUCGGAUUAGCUUGUUGGCGGGGUAAAANCCACAAGGCGACGAUCCGUAGCCGGUUUGAGAGAACGACCAGCCACACUGGGGACUGAGACACGGCCCAGACCCCUACGGGAGGCAGCAGUGGGGAAUCUUGGACAAUGGGCGCAAGCCUGAUCCAGCCAUGCCGCGUGUGUGAAGAAGGCCU